GAUCAACCUUUUAAUCCCACAUCGCCCUCAAAAUAUAUUACCAAAUAUACCCUUCCAUGAGCUAUGCUCUAAGUUAUGAGGUGGUCACAUGACAAAAAAUUCUCCCCACAAAAGAGAAAAAAAAAAAAUUAAAAAAAAAAAAUCGACUUUGUUUUGGAACUUUUUUUGAUUUCACUGAUUUUUUUUCUUCCCAAAAUAUUAGGAUUCUGCAAAAUUUUAAUCUGACACAAAAAUCAGAAUGCAGAAAACAGCAGAUUCUUUGUGAAAUCACAUGUCAAUUAAAUGACCAUAAAGCAAUGGUCAUACCAAUACUUUAACAAGAGAAUUGCUUCUACAAAAUCCUAAUAAAAACAUUCCUGGAAAACAGUAAUUUUAAAACAUGUUUUAGUUGGUUUUGAUGUAUCAUAACGGUUUGUUUUAUUGGGGUAAGUGGAUUUUUAAAAAAUUAAAUAAAAACCCCUGACACAGCAUUUUGCAGCAGUUUAUCUCAAUGCACAACAAGCUCUUAGAAACUAAAGCCUUAAAACAUCUCUGUCAGCCAAGGACUUUACAAGCAAGAAAACCUGCAUGAACAGGCCAAGGCACGUGUUAAGAUCAUAUAGGGACUUGGUCUUGGCUUUUGUGAUGAUCAUAUCAUAUCACAUAUUUUGUAGACAAUGAUUUAUUAUGACUAUGAUAAUUUACUGUUCAGGUUUCAAAUUAGUGUUAUCCUGCUGGAAAGUAACCACUCCAUAAGAUGGGAUGUUUCUGAGUAGAACAGUCUGGUCCAUUACAAACCUUCUCCAGAUUUAACCCAUAAUUUUGAGUUUUAAAACACUAAACCUGCAUAGCUCCUCAGUUAUUUUGAUACCAAAAUGGAAGUGCUGCAUCAUGCUGAAACUGCAAAGUAAGGCUGGUGUAGCAAUGAGCAUCAGCUGCAUCGUUAGAGAAGCAUAACUCUGCAGAUCACAGGGCAUAUGACCCUUCUUUCACUCUAGGUUGGGUUCCCCUCUGCCUUUUGUUUUGUUUUUAUUUGGUUUUAGAUUUUGGCUUAGCCAGUUGCCAGUGUUCCCCAACACCUAUUCCCAAGGGACUUGUCUUGCCUUCAUUGCCAGCAGGCAUCACAUUGAAGGAUGUGAAAUACCCUUGCUACCAAGCUCAGGCUGCAGUCCCUGCUCUGAAGACUGCCUAGGAAAGCCCUGCUCCUCCUUCUCCCUGCCAGGGCAGAAGUCACUGCCAGCAUCUAGAACAACCCCAUGUCUGUAGUUUUCUACUUGCAUCUUCUCUUUCCAUAGCCAAGAGAUGAAAAGCUUCCCCUCCCAGCUGCC
This 1307-nucleotide long non-coding RNA is filed under the name Strigops habroptila (Kakapo). RNAcentral's name for it is "lncRNA (ENSSHBG00005015647.1)". Lineage: Eukaryota; Metazoa; Chordata; Aves; Psittaciformes; Psittacidae. The record is from RNAcentral.